This 76-nucleotide transfer RNA is filed under the name Bacteroides thetaiotaomicron. Its description in RNAcentral is "tRNA-Phe". It matches the Rfam family "tRNA". Rfam says of the family: Transfer RNA (tRNA) molecules are approximately 80 nucleotides in length. Their secondary structure includes four short double-helical elements and three loops (D, anti-codon, and T loops). The record is from RNAcentral. RNAcentral also lists the same sequence under 27 other names. Lineage: Bacteria; Pseudomonadati; Bacteroidota; Bacteroidia; Bacteroidales; Bacteroidaceae.
GGUGCCAUAGCUCAGUUGGUAGAGCAAAGGACUGAAAAUCCUUGUGUCCCCGGUUCGAUUCCUGGUGGCACCACCU